RNAcentral lists this ribosomal RNA (450 nucleotides) under uncultured Glomeromycotina. RNAcentral's name for it is "SSU rRNA". It matches the Rfam family "Eukaryotic small subunit ribosomal RNA", at positions 569 to 1025 of the family's 1831-position model. Lineage: Eukaryota; Fungi; Glomeromycota. The record is from RNAcentral.
CGCAGCCGCGGUAAUUCCAGCUCCAAUAGCGUAUAUUAAAGUUGUUGCAGUUAAAAGCUCGUAGUUGAAUUUCGGGGUUAGUAGGUUGGUCAUGCCUCUGGUAUGUACUGGUCUCACUGAUUCCUCCUUCCUGAUGAACCUUAAUGCCAUUAAUUUGGUGUUUUGGGGAAUUUGGACUGUUACUUUGAAAAAUUAGAGUGUUUAAAGCAAGCUAACGCUUGAAUACAUUAGCAUGGAAUAAUGAAAUAGGACGUUCGAUCCUAUUUUGUUGGUUUCUAGGAUUGACGUAAUGAUUAAUAGGGAUAGUUGGGGGCAUUAGUAUUCAAUUGUCAGAGGUGAAAUUCUUGGAUUUAUUGAAGACUAACUACUGCGAAAGCAUUUUGCCAAGGAUGUUUUCAUUAAUCAAGAACGAAAGUUAGGGAUCGAAGACGAUCAGAUACCGUCGUAGUC